GCAGUGCUGACGAGUCUCAUAAUAGGACGAAACGGCCGUCCAGUGC
Schistosoma mansoni is the source of this 46-nucleotide non-coding RNA. The record is from Rfam. NCBI's taxonomy places the organism in Eukaryota, Metazoa, Platyhelminthes, Trematoda, Strigeidida, Schistosomatidae.